GCGAGAAGUUUUAGUUUGACGCUUCGGUUGAUUUCUAAAAUGGACAGCGGCGCAAGGGAGAGUAACGCGUAGUUAUCUGCCCCAAGGUCCGGAAUAGCUGAGGGAAACUUCAGGUAAUACCGGAUAAUAUCCCCGGAUCAAAGGUGUGAUUCCGCCUUGGGAGGAGACUGCGUACUACUAGCUUGUUGGUGGGGUAAUGGCCUACCAAGGCUUUGAUGGUUAGCGGGCGUGAGAGCGUGGCCCGUCUCACUGGGACUGAAACACUGCCCAGACACCUACGGGUGGCUGCAGUCGAGAAUCUUCGGCAAUGGGCGAAAGCCUGACCGAGCGAUGCCGCGUGCGGGAUGAAGGCCUUCGGGUUGUAAACCGCUGUCAGUUGGGAGGAAGGCUUCGUGAAGAGCGAAGUUUGACCUAUCUUCAGAGGAAGUCCGGGCUAAGUUCGUGCCAGCAGCCGCGGUAACACGAACCGGACAAACGUUAUUCGGAAUUAUUGGGCUUAAAGGGUGCGUAGGCGGCUUAGUAGGUGGGGUGUGAAAUCCCUCGGCUCAACCGAGGAACUGCGCCCCAAACCACUAGGCUAGAGGGAGACAGAGGUAAGCGGAACUGAUGGUGGAGCGGUGAAAUGCGUUGAUAUCAUCAGGAACACCGGUGGCGAAAGCGGCUUACUGGGUCUCUUCUGACGCUGAGGCACGAAAGCUAGGGUAGCGAACGGGAUUAGAUACCCCGGUAGUCCUAGCUGUAAACGAUGAGCACUUGGUUGAGGGCCCCCCCAUAGGUUCUCGGCCGUAGCGAAAGUGUUAA
RNAcentral lists this ribosomal RNA (801 nucleotides) under uncultured bacterium. Its description in RNAcentral is "bacterial SSU rRNA". It matches the Rfam family "Bacterial small subunit ribosomal RNA", at positions 66 to 863 of the family's 1533-position model. The record is from RNAcentral.